Molecule: ribosomal RNA, 485 nt
Filed under: uncultured bacterium
Lineage: Bacteria
Description: bacterial SSU rRNA
Rfam family: Bacterial small subunit ribosomal RNA
Source: RNAcentral
AGCGAACGUUUGCGGCGGGCUUAACACAUGCAAGUCGAACGGGCUGUUCCUUCGGGGGCAGUCAGUGGCGCACGGGUGCGUAACACGUAGGUAAUCAACCCUCUGGUUGGGGAUAACACUUCGAAAGGAGUGCUAAUACCCGGUAUGGCGCAGCGGUCUUCGGAUCGCGGCGAGAAAGACCCGCAAGGGUUGCCAGAGGACGAGCCUGCGGCCCAUCAGCUAGUUGGCGAGGUAACGGCUCACCAAGGCGAAGACGGGUAGCUGGUCUGAGAGGAUGAUCAGCCACACUGGAACUGAGACACGGUCCAGACUCCUACGGGAGGCAGCAGUGGGGAAUAUUGCGCAAUGGACGAAAGUCUGAUGCAGCAACGCCGACGUGGAGGAUGACACAUUUCGGUGCGUAAACUCCUUUUAUAUUAGGAAGAUAAUGACGGUACUAUAUGAAUAAGCACCGGCUAACUCCGUGCCAGCAGCCGCGGUAAUGU